RNAcentral lists this ribosomal RNA (210 nucleotides) under uncultured bacterium. RNAcentral's name for it is "partial 16S ribosomal RNA". It matches the Rfam family "Bacterial small subunit ribosomal RNA", at positions 524 to 733 of the family's 1533-position model. The record is from RNAcentral.
UACGGAGGGUGCGAGCGUUAAUCGGAAUAACUGGGCGUAAAGGGCACGCAGACGGGCUUUUAAGUGAGAUGUGAAAGCCCCGGGCUCAACCUGGGAAUAGCAUUUCAGACUGGGUGUCUAGAGUACUUUAGGGGGGGGUAGAAUUCCACGUGUAGCGGUGAAAUGCGUAGAGAUGUGGAGGAAUACCGGAGGCGAAGGCAGCCCCCUGGA